Molecule: ribosomal RNA, 479 nt
Filed under: uncultured bacterium
Lineage: Bacteria
Description: bacterial LSU rRNA
Rfam family: Bacterial large subunit ribosomal RNA
Source: RNAcentral
AGGGGUGAAAGGCCAAACAAACCCGGUGAUAGCUGGUUCUCCGCGAAAAUGCAUUUAGGUGCAGCGUUGCAUGUUCAUCCAUGGAGGUAGAGCACUGGAUGGGCUAGGGGGCCCACAAGCUUACCGAACCCAACCAAACUCCGAAUGCCAUGGAUCCAGAGUGCAGCAGUGAGACCCCGGGGGAUGAGCUUCGGGGUCGAGAGGGAAACAGCCCAGACCGUCGGCUAAGGUCCCAAAAUUCAGACUAAGUGGUAAACGAUGUGAGAUUGCAUAGACAGCCAGGAGGUUGGCUUAGAAGCAGCCAACCCUUAAAAGAGUGCGUAAUAGCUCACUGGUCGAGUGAUCUUGCGCGGAUAAUGUAACGGGGCUUAAGUCUGAUACCGAAGCCACGGGUGCGUCUUUGACGCGCGGUAGCGGAGCGUCGAUCUCGCAGUGAAGCAGUCGGGUAACCUACUGUGGAGCGUGGUCGAGUGAGAAUG